UGACGGGGAUAGCUCAGUUGGUAGAGCAUAGGACUCUUAAUCUCAGGGUCGAGGGUUCAAGGCCCACAUUGGGCAAAA
Podarcis lilfordi (Lilford's wall lizard) is the source of this 78-nucleotide non-coding RNA. Lineage: Eukaryota; Metazoa; Chordata; Lepidosauria; Squamata; Lacertidae. The record is from the annotation of a GenBank genome assembly.